RNAcentral lists this ribosomal RNA (253 nucleotides) under uncultured bacterium. Its description in RNAcentral is "partial 16S ribosomal RNA". It matches the Rfam family "Bacterial small subunit ribosomal RNA", at positions 524 to 776 of the family's 1533-position model. The record is from RNAcentral.
UACGUAGGGUGCAAGCGUUGUCCGGAAUUAUUGGGCGUAAAGAGCUCGUAGGCGGUUUGUCACGUCGGGCGUGAAAACUCAGGGCUCAACCCUGAGCGUGCGUUCGAUACGGGCAGACUAGAGGUAUGCAGGGGAGAACGGAAUUCCUGGUGUAGCGGUGGAAUGCGCAGAUAUCAGGAGGAACACCGGUGGCGAAGGCGGUUCUCUGGGCAUUACCUGACGCUGAGGAGCGAAAGCAUGGGGAGCGAACAGG